Molecule: transfer RNA, 58 nt
Filed under: Pheidole nodus
Lineage: Eukaryota; Metazoa; Arthropoda; Insecta; Hymenoptera; Formicidae
Description: tRNA-Ser
Source: RNAcentral
GAAAUAAUUAAAAUGAACUUCUAAUUCAUUAUCUUAUGAUACCUAUCAUAUUAUUUUU